UAAUGUUCUAUAGAGAUGCAAGUGCAUAUACAUGAGAAGAUCUCUCAGUAGACUAGCUAGCUAAUGGAGAUAGAGAGAAAGUGGGAGAGAAGAUUGGCCGGCCUCUUCUUCGGAGGAGACUUCUUCAGUUCUUGUCUUUGUUUUUUGAUGCUGGGGGGAAGGGAGUGAGGUGGAGGCUGACAGAAGAGAGUGAGCACACAUGGUGCCUUUCUUGCAUGGUGAAUUAAUGGGGGAAGUUCAUGCUUGAAGCUAUGUGUGCUCACUUCUCUCUCUAUUUGUGUGUGUGUGUGUGUGUGUGUGUUGAACUUUUGAUGAUCUCUUUCUUUGAGCUAGCUAAUUCAAUAUGUGAUGUGCACAAGAGAGGUGGGUGCUGUGUGUGGAAGUUGACAGAAGAGAGUGAGCACCCAUGGUGUUUCCUUAGCAUCAAGGGGCAUGCCAGGGAGCUAUGCGUGCUCACUGCUCUAUCUGUCAGCCACUGAUCAGACCCCGUUUCUUGCAUGUAAUCACAUAUCCUAACUAGGGUUUAUGCAGGUCUCCAUGAUCGGCAGCAGAGGGAGGGAGCUGGGCUUUGGAGGUCUGACAGAAGAGAGUGAGCACACGCGGUGGUUUCCUAGCAUGCGAGCGCCAUGCUGGGAGCUGCGCGUGCUCACCCUCUCUCUGUCAGCCAUUCACCAUGCUCAUCUCUCUUCUAUCUGAUGCCAAUCAAUCGACGAACAACCAAAGAGGGCACUGAGAUCCAUGUAAUAUAUGCAGGGAAACUGUAGGUUGUCGUUCUGACUUUCAGAGAGUGGGUUUCAUGGUUCUGUGAGAAGAUUUAGGCCUCAAACUAGAUAGCCUCCAAAUGAAGCUAACCCACUUCUCUCUCUAUCUAGUUGUUAUGCUUAGAUGUCAUGUCUUCUCACCGAACAUGUGUUAACAGCUCUCCGAGAUUGAAUGGAAGUAAUAUUUCCUUUGAAUCUGUAAAUGCGUGAUCUGAAACUUGGUGUACUGUACUCAGAUAGUCCCUGUUAUUUCAUGUACACAUUUCAGUUU
Triticum dicoccoides is the source of this 1032-nucleotide long non-coding RNA. RefSeq lists it as uncharacterized. The transcript is spliced from 2 exons. Lineage: Eukaryota; Viridiplantae; Streptophyta; Magnoliopsida; Poales; Poaceae. The record is from RefSeq and is a predicted model, not a curated record.